GACCCCGAGCGCAGUAGUUAAACCCUCGCUUUGGAAGGCCCUGGCGGUGCCCUGCCGUUAAACCCCCAACUUCUGAAAAUUUGACCUCGGAUCAGGUAGGAAUACCCGCUGAACUUAAGCAUAUCAA
Molecule: ribosomal RNA, 127 nt
Filed under: Diaporthe vaccinii
Lineage: Eukaryota; Fungi; Ascomycota; Sordariomycetes; Diaporthales; Diaporthaceae
Description: partial 28S ribosomal RNA
Source: RNAcentral